RNAcentral lists this small RNA (122 nucleotides) under Pseudomonas reactans. Its description in RNAcentral is "RtT sRNA". It matches the Rfam family "RtT RNA". Rfam says of the family: This family represents a bacterial cis-regulatory element known as RtT RNA. The exact function of RtT is unknown although it is thought that it may be involved in changing the cellular response in relation to amino acid starvation. The record is from RNAcentral. Lineage: Bacteria; Pseudomonadati; Pseudomonadota; Gammaproteobacteria; Pseudomonadales; Pseudomonadaceae.
CUCAGAGUAAAGCAGUGCAGGAUGAGAACCACUGGUUCGAGCCGAGCGAAGCGAGACGACAACGCGAAUGCGUUGCCCAUAGGGUGAGCUCGCAGAGCGAAUCAAUCCAGCACGGCCCACCA